This 255-nucleotide long non-coding RNA is filed under the name Nicotiana benthamiana. Its description in RNAcentral is "long non-coding RNA (NBEN_LNC001325)". The record is from RNAcentral. Lineage: Eukaryota; Viridiplantae; Streptophyta; Magnoliopsida; Solanales; Solanaceae.
ACAAAAGAACCCAAAUUGUGGAGGAAUCCCCUCAUGUUGUGUUUUCCGAAGAUAAUGCUCGCCUGGCGAGAAAGGAAUCCGGUUUUGAUCUUGCGGGUAUCUUGGAUAGCUUGAAAGAUAAAAUCCAAGAAGAACCUUCAAAGGAAAACAAAAAUGGAAUUGAGGAACAACCAACGGAAGAAGCGCCACAAGUAGAAAAAGGAAUAAAUACGGCUAACGAGUGGAGAACGAUCAAGGAUCAUCCUCUCGAACAGG